AUUGAACGCUGGCGGCAUGCCUUACACAUGCAAGUCGAACGGCAGCACGGGUGCUUGCACCUGGUGGCGAGUGGCGAACGGGUGAGUAAUACAUCGGAACAUGUCCUGUAGUGGGGGAUAGCCCGGCGAAAGCCGGAUUAAUACCGCAUACGAUCUACGGAUGACAGCGGGGGACCUUCGGGCCUCGCGCUAUAGGGUUGGCCGAUGGCUGAUUAGCUAGUUGGUGGGGUAAAGGCCUACCAAGGCGACGAUCAGUAGCUGGUCUGAGAGGACGACCAGCCACACUGGGACUGAGACACGGCCCAGACUCCUACGGGAGGCAGCAGUGGGGAAUUUUGGACAAUGGGCGAAAGCCUGAUCCAGCAAUGCCGCGUGUGUGAAGAAGGCCUUCGGGUUGUAAAGCACUUUUGUCCGGAAAGAAAUCCUUGGCCCUAAUACGGUCGGGGGUUGACGGUACCGGAAGAAUAAGCACCGGCUAACUACGUG
RNAcentral lists this ribosomal RNA (486 nucleotides) under uncultured bacterium. RNAcentral's name for it is "partial 16S ribosomal RNA". It matches the Rfam family "Bacterial small subunit ribosomal RNA", at positions 30 to 507 of the family's 1533-position model. The record is from RNAcentral.